CUGCACCCUAAGUGGCUACUUUCCAGACGAACUGAGUGUGGAGUGGAAGCAGGACAACCAACGUCUACAACCUGCCAAAAGCCCAACGAAGCUGCAGAGUGCGGACGGAACGGAGAAAACCUUCAGUCUAACCAGUGAGAUUGAGCCAAAAACAACAGAGUGGGAACGAGGCUCAAAGUUUACAUGCAAGUCAACUCACAAAGAUCAGGAAUAUAAAAAAACAAUAAGCAUUUGUCAAAUCCAUGAAAGCGCCCCUCCCUCCAUCCAUGUGGAGAUUCCCAGCUUCAAGACAGUAAUGAUGGCAGGAGGAUCCAACGUGGAAGCAACAUGUUUGGUCCGCUCUGAUUUUGACGCCAAGUUGACCUGGCGGAUAAAUGGGGGAGAUGCAACACAUGUCCAAGUGACGCAGGACAAAAACUCAACUUAUAUAUUCAGUACUGU
This is a long non-coding RNA of Epinephelus moara (kelp grouper), 441 nucleotides long. RefSeq lists it as uncharacterized. The transcript is spliced from 2 exons. The record is from RefSeq and is a predicted model, not a curated record. Lineage: Eukaryota; Metazoa; Chordata; Actinopteri; Perciformes; Serranidae.